CCAGCAGUCGCGGUUAAACGAAUAGUGCAAGUUAAUUUUAUUUGAUUGAGUUAAAUUGUUUUUAAUUUAUUUUUGAUAAACUUAUUAGGUGAAAUUUUAAGGUUAUCUAUGUAAUUCUAAAAUUUAUUGAAGCUUGUAAAUUUUAAUUAAAAACUAGGAUUAGAUACCCUAUUAUUUAAAAUUAAAAAAUUUAUUUUAGGUAGUAUUAGUUAUGAUCUUGAAACUUAAAAAAUUUGGCGGUAUUUUAGUCUAUCCAGAGGAACCUGUUCUGUAAUCGAUAAUCCACGUUGGACCUUACUUGACAAUGUAUUCAGUUUAUAUACCGUCGUUAUAAGAGUAUUUUAUAAGAAUAGUAAUUUUCUUUAAUUUUUAUUAAAAUUUAUAUCAGAUCAAGGUGUAGCUAAUAGUUAAGUAGAAAUGGGUUACAAUAAAUUUAUUUAUAUGAAUUUUUAUUUGCAAUAUAUUUUAUGAAGGUGGAUUUGGUAGUAAAAUUAUUAAUAGUUUUAAUUUGAUUAUAGCUCUAAAAUAUGC
RNAcentral lists this ribosomal RNA (531 nucleotides) under Scipopus sp. BOLD:ACO1153. RNAcentral describes it as "partial 12S ribosomal RNA". Lineage: Eukaryota; Metazoa; Arthropoda; Insecta; Diptera; Micropezidae. The record is from RNAcentral.